GGCUUAGAGUUUGAUCAUGGCUCAGGACGAACGCUGGCGGCGUGCUUAACACAUGCAAGUCGAACGGAGCACCUUUGAAAGAGACUUCGGUCAAUGGAUGAGACUGCUUAGUGGCGGACGGGUGAGUAACGCGUGAGGAACCUGCCUUCCAGAGGGGGACAACAGUUGGAAACGACUGCUAAUACCGCAUAACGCGUGACCGGGGCAUCCUGGACAUGCCAAAGAUUUAUCGCUGGAAGAUGGCCUCGCGUCUGAUUAGCUAGUUGGUAGGGUAACGGCCUACCAAGGCGACGAUCAGUAGCCGGACUGAGAGGUUGGCCGGCCACAUUGGGACUGAGAUACGGCCCAGACUCCUACGGGAGGCAGCAGUGGGGAAUAUUGGGCAAUGGGCGCAAGCCUGACCCAGCAACGCCGCGUGAAGGAAGAAGGCUUUCGGGUUGUAAACUUCUUUUGUCAGGGAACAGUAGAAGAGGGUACCUGACGAAUAAGCUCCGGCUAACUACGUGCCAGCAGCCGCGGUAAUACGUAGGGAGCGAGCGUUGUCCGGAUUUACUGGGUGUAAAGGGCGUGUAGGCGGGAUUACAAGUCAGAUGUGAAAUUCCGGGGCUCAACCCCGGAACUGCAUUUGAAACUGUAGUUCUUGAGUACUGGAGAGGCAGAUGGAAUUAAGCC
RNAcentral lists this ribosomal RNA (672 nucleotides) under uncultured organism. Its description in RNAcentral is "bacterial SSU rRNA". It matches the Rfam family "Bacterial small subunit ribosomal RNA", at positions 1 to 673 of the family's 1533-position model. The record is from RNAcentral.